GUCCCCAGACACAGGGCCAGUGUCGGGCUUGGCCCUGCUGACCCCAAAGUGGACGUCUCUGGGUGGUUGGAUUUUUCUUUUUUUGUGAUCCGGUUCCCGAGAUUGCAUUUCUGGAUUCUGAUCCUCUUCGGGGAAAUCGUGAGGACAACGAGCGAGGGUCGUGACUUGUGGCCGAGGGGGGUCAAAGUUGAGAUGACUUGGAAGGUGGCGAUGGAAGCAAGUAGGAAAAACAAAGGGUUGCUAUGGAACAAGCAGACAGUGUUUGAAUCAAGCGUAGGAGAGAAGCUUUAAAGGGACUCUGAACAGAAACCUGUAUGGUUUGUAUUUGACAGAAGAUUAUUCAAGAUGUUUGAAAUGACAAGUCCGGGCGCAUGUUAGUGGAUCUUUCUUUACUCUACGAGGACAUGCACUCAGUGCUUUGAUGUAUUCUGUUUCUUCUAGCAUUCGGGAGUUUGUAUAUGUUCUGAGCUGCAAACCUGCACAGGCGUGUUGGUGUGCGAGUGGAGGGAUGGUAUGUGGAACGCAGAGCAGCUCCGAGCUGAUUCCUGCGGCGCGUUGACUGAUUCGGUCUUUGAAUGUGACUGAAUUUCGGACUCCUCAAAGCCAAGGGGUCAAGUGCGUCAACAUGCAAAGUCAUGUGUCAGAACGUGCACAUCUUUUUAUGAUGGGGGAAUGGCUGCGCGGUGGCACCACCCAUAAAAGAUCAGACGACCUCCAGCUCCUGUUGGCACAUCACCUGACCCGGCUACCGCUUCAAUGUGCAUCUACUUCAGCUGUUCUUCUCCUUGUUCUCGCUUUCUCUCUGUUUUUUAUUAUUGUAUGGAGCUGGGCCUUCCAGCAGCAACCCACAGGAAGUCAUUCACUUCCUAAUUAUCUGCACAUCAAACAGGGGUCGCCGCGGAGACGCAGACCAUAAAUUCAGCCCCCUCCCCACCGCUGUGGUGCGAUAGCACAGCAACAGCUGCCUCUAAUUGGGGCUGUAGGUUCAAACUGCUAACAUAUGACUUCCCUCCUAUUCACUAAGACACUGUCUGCCUCUGCCAAGGCCACAACACACACGGACCAGGUCACCAGCGCAGAGAGCGAUCGGGUUUCAGAUAAAGAGAGACGGGGAGAGUCGAGAGGCAGAAAGACGCCCCUCGAUGGCACAGGAAACUCGGUGUGGUUUCGGGAUGGGCUCUGAAGUGGUCCAACGUGGCCCGCUCCCACCGCAGAGGCCCUCGGGUCAACAGGAGCUCCCCCAGAUUGACAAAGAGAACGAGAAGGAUGAAGAGUGAGCGAGUGACAGGCUGCGAUAACAAAGGGCGACCACAGUGCGGUUUCGUGACGGCUCUCCGGGUGAAAACCGAUGAGUUGUCAGAUCCAGCUGGGCCAGAUAUUGUAUCGCAACAAUCAAAAACCUUUUUCACACUUGUGUAAGAGUCCAACCAUGCAUUACUGAAACAUGAUCGAGCGCCCCUAUCUGUUUCUCAAUGUUUAAAAAAAACUUGCUUUUAUCUGACAAUUCCUCUAAUGGCAGGUCAGAGGUCAGAGUCACUCACAGAGCCGGUUUCUUCUUCUUCUACACACAUGGAGAAUACAUGGUCGGAUCGAUGUUUGUGUACUAAACCACCGAGGGAUAAUGAGCUCUUUCCAACACAUGACCGAGGCAGAGUCGCCGGGAGAAGAGUCCAUACUCCAAAGGGCUGAAGAGGCUUUAGUACCUGUCACAGCCAUGUAAAUUGGGCCCUCAGCAAGUGAACGAGCCGGCCCAUUGUCUCUAAUGGCCUCUUGUUAGGAAAAGCCGCCUACAGUGUGAAUUUGACUUUGUAUGCUCGCUCCGGGCUACGUGCAUAUGCACUUCCUACCGUCCCUUAAGUUUACUGCGUUUCAGCAGGAAACACAAUUAGCCCAAUCAAAGUGAAAGGAAGGGGGUCGAGGGGAGGAGGAGAGGAGAGGAGUGCGUUUUAUGAACAUGGGUGGUGAAACAGCAGCAUUGUGAUGGCAGGAGGAUAUUAGGUGCUGGGCGGCAGCUUUUUGAUGUAGAGGAGUCUUUAGCGGGCGUCUGACUCUUGUUAAAGUGGGCUGACAUACAAUUAAAGAUAUAUGGCCCGGGACAGCCGUGAGAUUCGGAUACAUUAGCGGAUUAGAUUUUAAAAGGGGCUUGUUUAAAGGAUGGCCAGUAAAUACUAUUCAGCACUAAUGUGUGCUCUCAUGUAUGCGGCGAGCUGGGUAUCGUUUAAAAGUACCAUUCAUAAAAGCGCGUUAAUGGAAGUCUAUUAAAAAGGGAUGUGAGGGAGAUUCAUUAUUGGUCCACAAACUGCUGUGUGUGCAGAUCCUCAUUACGGCAAUAAAGUCAUAUUCCCAGAUGCUA
Molecule: long non-coding RNA, 2353 nt
Organism: Hippoglossus stenolepis (Pacific halibut)
Lineage: Eukaryota; Metazoa; Chordata; Actinopteri; Pleuronectiformes; Pleuronectidae
Exons: 2
Source: RefSeq, a predicted model, not a curated record